GUUUGUUCCAAAUGCCGAGCAGUGGAGUACUACUUUAAGUUGGAGAACCUUCUCAGAGUGUUGUUUGCCACAGAAGAAAGUGAAGUGGAGUUCUACAGUUUUCCUUGCCAUGGUUUGCCCCAUAUCACUUUCCAGCAGUGCCGUCCUGAUCAUUACAGACAGGAUUACAGUGAAAGAUGACACCAGUAUACAGAAAACCCCAUACACAAUAGCUUCCUCUCCUUAUAGAAUGACCUCUGCACAGGUCCGUUGCAGGUUAUUUAUUUAUUUUUAUUACAAAAUGCAGCAUUUGUUCUUAUGUCAUUUUUCCUCCCUUAUACAUUUUAAGCAUUUUUGCAGUAAAGAAAAAAUAACUAUAAAGAAUCAAUGAAAACAAGGAUAUAACCAUAAUGUGCUAAAGAAAAUUACAAAUAAUACCAAAAACUUAAGCACACAACCGAAAUAGAUAAAACUCCCCUGAAACGCGUCUGUGAUACCCACCCAAUCUACUAAACUACCAUUGCCACCCAACUGCUUCUGCAAAUUCUUAGGAUCAGCUCCUUGCAAAUGCAACCCAGGUCCACCUCAUGGUGUGUUUACGUGCCUAACUUCUGCACGAGGAUAGCUCUCUGAUCAGGUUUGCCAGCAAUACUUGUGCUACUCAACUACCAUCAUCCUGAGCCGGACGCCGGUCCGUGCCACAGAGCAGCAAAGGGAGCCGGCACCUGCACGCUGUACAACACAAACAGCGCUUCUCACUAUUAUCUUCUCACAGCUACGAUCUUCGCUUCACUCAUACACAGCUACAAUCUCCACUUUGGGACCACAGAUAAAAGACAUAUUUAGGCCGGGAGCAGCCCGUGCCAACCUGUGUGGCAUAACUAUUACAGAUGAGUAGUUUGUCAUAACAAUUUACUUUUCAGCUGGAUUUAUUGCUAUCUCCAAUAACUUGUGCCGUAGUGCUAACAGACUGCCAUAAACUAUUCCAAAUAAGCAAAAUAUAAGAUACUAUUUUUCCUUCAAAGAGGCCCUUAUAUUGUAAAUAUACCGGUUUUAACAACAUAUAUAUAUCCUAUGUCACAAUCCGAGUUCCAGAAUUACCAUUUGGAUUUAAGUUCAGUAAGGCGGCAGAUUGCAUUCACUAAAGAGCAUACAGAUUGCAUUUUAUUAUAUGUUUUAUUGUGAUAUUAACCAUCUGAAUCUGUAGCAAGGGCCCUGCUCAGAUUCUAGUCUUCUAUGCCUAUUUUAUAACUCUAUUUAAUUAUUUCUAAUAAAGUAUCAGUUUAUUGACAGAGAACCAGCUACAUCCUAAUUUUUUCUUAAAAAAAUGUGUAACAUUUUUUAAACCCUGUAUUCACAACAAUUUAAUUCCUUUCCACCUUCUUUCCUUUUCUUUUCCAUUCUUUUUCUCUUUCCCUCCCUUCUCUCUUUUCUCUUUCCCUCCUGUUUUGUUGCUUUUUUACGUUAUAUGUAACAGUAGGGCAUGCAGACUUAUAUCUCACUGCCAGUCAUGACACAAAAUAGGACUGACCCAUAGCUUGCCUUGCUGGCAGUGGAUGAUAAUAUGAUUACACAUGCGCUUUGUAGCUUGUUCUGUUGACUUACUAUACCCUUGUGCAUGCGUUGCAUAUUGCCUAUCCAGUUUGUAUGUUUUUU
This is a long non-coding RNA of Hyla sarda, 1635 nucleotides long. RefSeq lists it as uncharacterized. The record is from RefSeq and is a predicted model, not a curated record. The transcript has 3 exons. NCBI's taxonomy places the organism in Eukaryota, Metazoa, Chordata, Amphibia, Anura, Hylidae.